UACGUAGGGGGCAAGCGUUGUCCGGAAUCAUUGGGCGUAAAGCGCGCGUAGGCGGCUAGGUAAGUCUGCUCUGAAAGCCCGGGGCUCAACCCCGGGAGGCGGGUGGAUACUGUCUAGCUCGAGUCCGGAAGAGGAGUGUGGAAUUCCUGGUGUAGCGGUGAAAUGCGCAGAUAUCAGGAGGAACACCAAUGGCGAAGGCAGCACUCUGGGACGUGACUGACGCUGAGAAGCGAAAGCGUGGGGAGCAAACAGG
RNAcentral lists this ribosomal RNA (253 nucleotides) under uncultured bacterium. RNAcentral's name for it is "partial 16S ribosomal RNA". It matches the Rfam family "Bacterial small subunit ribosomal RNA", at positions 524 to 776 of the family's 1533-position model. The record is from RNAcentral.